Molecule: ribosomal RNA, 274 nt
Filed under: uncultured bacterium
Lineage: Bacteria
Description: partial 16S ribosomal RNA
Rfam family: Bacterial small subunit ribosomal RNA
Source: RNAcentral
AUACAGAGGGUGCGAGCGUUAAUCGGAAUUACUGGGCGUAAAGCGCGCGUAGGCGGCUUAUUAAGUCAGAUGUGAAAUCCCCGGGCUCAACCUGGGAACUGCAUCUGAUACUGGUAAGCUAGAGUUUUGGAGAGGGAAGUAGAAUUUCAGGUGUAGCGGUGAAAUGCAUAGAUAUCUGAAGGAAUACCAGUGGCGAAGGCGGCUUCCUGGCCUAAAUCUGACGCUGAGGUGCGAAAGCGUGGGUAGCAAACGGGAUUAGAAACCCCAGUAGUCC